CGGAGGGUGCAAGCGUUAAUCGGAAUUACUGGGCGUAAAGCGCACGCAGGCGGUCUGUCAAGUCGGAUGUGAAAUCCCCGGGCUCAACCUGGGAACUGCAUUCGAAACUGGCAGGCUAGAGUCUUGUAGAGGGGGGUAGAAUUCCAGGUGUAGCGGUGAAAUGCGUAGAGAUCUGGAGGAAUACCGGUGGCGAAGGCGGCCCCCUGGACAAAGACUGACGCUCAGGUGCGAAAGCGUGGGGGAGCAAACAGGAUU
Molecule: ribosomal RNA, 255 nt
Filed under: uncultured bacterium
Lineage: Bacteria
Description: partial 16S ribosomal RNA
Rfam family: Bacterial small subunit ribosomal RNA
Source: RNAcentral